This 23-nucleotide non-coding RNA is filed under the name Cricetulus griseus (Chinese hamster). Lineage: Eukaryota; Metazoa; Chordata; Mammalia; Rodentia; Cricetidae. The record is from RNAcentral.
UGAACACCCCUGCUGUAACCUGU